AUUGCCCUAGUAACGGCGAGUGAAGCGGCAACAGCUCAAAUUUGAAAUCUGGCGCAAGCCCGAGUUGUAAUUUGUAGAGGAUGCUUCGGGGCAGCGGCCGGUCUAAGCUCCUUGGAACAGGACGUCAUAGAGGGUGAGAAUCCCGUAUGCGACCGGCUGGCACCCCACACGUAGCUCCUUCGACGAGUCGAGUUGUUUGGGAAUGCAGCUCUAAAUGGGAGGUAAAUUCCUUCUAAAGCUAAAUACCGGCCAGAGACCGAUAGCGCACAAGUAGAGUGAUCGAAAGAUGAAAAGCACUUUGGAAAGAGAGUUAAAAAGCACGUGAAAUUGUUGAAAGGGAAGCGCAAGCAACCAGACUUGUCGGCGGUGUUCCGCCGGUCUUCUGACCGGUCUACUCGCCGCCGGCAGGCCAACAUCACCUGGGGCCGCCGGAUAAAGGUGUCGGGAAUGUAGCUCCCCUCGGGGAGUGUUAUAGCCCGGCGCACAAUACGGUGCGCCCCGAGUGAGGUCCGCGCUUCGGCUAGGAUGUUGGCGUAAUGGUCGUUUGCGGCCCGUCUUGAAACACGGACCAAGGAGUCUACCAUCUAUGCGAGUGUUCGGGUGUCAAACCCCUACGCGGAAUGAAAGUGAACGGAGGUGGGAACUUUAUUGUGCACCAUCGACCGAUCCUGAUGUCUUCGGAUGGAUUUGAGUAAGA
This 697-nucleotide ribosomal RNA is filed under the name uncultured fungus. RNAcentral describes it as "LSU rRNA". It matches the Rfam family "Eukaryotic large subunit ribosomal RNA", at positions 74 to 799 of the family's 3401-position model. Lineage: Eukaryota; Fungi. The record is from RNAcentral.